This 465-nucleotide ribosomal RNA is filed under the name uncultured bacterium. RNAcentral describes it as "bacterial SSU rRNA". It matches the Rfam family "Bacterial small subunit ribosomal RNA", at positions 338 to 795 of the family's 1533-position model. The record is from RNAcentral.
CCUACGGGGUGCACCAGUGGGGAAUAUUGCACAAUGGGCGCAAGCCUGAUGCCGCCAUGCCGCGUGUAUGAAGAAGGCCUUAGGGUUGUAAAGUAGUUUCAGUUGGGAGGAAGGCGUUGAUGCUAAUAUCGUCAACGAUUGACGUUACCAACAGAAGAAGCACCGGCUAACUCCGUGCCAGCAGCCGCGGUAAUACGGAGGGUGCAAGCGUUAAUCAGAAUUACUGGGCGUAAAGCGCACGCAGGCGGUUGAUUAAGUUAGAUGUGAAAUCCCCGGGCUUAACCUGGGAAUGGCAUCUAAGACUGGUCAGCUAGAGUCUUGUAGAGGGGGGUAGAAUUCCAUGUGUAGCGGUGAAAUGCGUAGAGAUGUGGAGGAAUACCGGUGGCGAAGGCGGCCCCCUGGACAAAGACUGACGCUCAGGUGCGAAAGCGUGGGGAGCAAACAGGAUUAGAUACCUCGGUAGUC